RNAcentral lists this long non-coding RNA (1711 nucleotides) under Sus scrofa (pig). RNAcentral's name for it is "lncRNA (ENSSSCG00065001759.1)". The record is from RNAcentral. Lineage: Eukaryota; Metazoa; Chordata; Mammalia; Artiodactyla; Suidae.
UUUUUCUUUUUCUUUAGCAAUAUCAUUUUCAGUGUAUGGGUAUUCCACAUCUUUGUCAGAUUCAUCCCAAAGUCUUUUACAUUUUUGAGACUAUUAUAAAUGGAAUUCUUACUUUUAUAUUUCAACUUCUGAUUUUUCAUUGUUUUUAUAUAGGAACAAAAUUGGUUUCUGUAUAUUGGUCUUAUAUCCUGCAACUUUUCUAACUUCACUAGUUCUAGUAACUUUUGGGGGAAUUCCAAGGGAUUUUCUACAAAGACCAGGGGUUUGCAAACUAUGGACCAUGGGCUAAAUGUAGUCUGAUGCUUGUUCUACAAGUAAAGUUUUACUGGAACACAGACAUGCUCAUUUGGUUAUAUAUUGUCUAUGAUUCUUUUGUAUUACAAUGACAAAGGUAAGUAGUUCAACAGAGAUAACAUAGAUAAGCACGUCACAUACAAUAAAGGCAGUCUUGUUUCUAUAACCUUCAGUAAAAUGCUGAAUAGUCACUUCUAUUCAGCAUCCUUGUCCUGUUUUGAUCUUAGAGGAAAAGCAUUGUCUUUCACUAUCAUGUAUGGUGUUGAUAGAGAUUUUUUGUUUUGUUUUGUUUUGUCUGUGCCUUUCUAGGGCCGUUCCUGCGGCAUAUGCAGGAAUGGCCCUAGAAAAGGCAAAAAGACCAAAAAAAAAAAAAAAAAAAGUUUCGUAAAAUUCACUACGUAGUCAUCUGGGAUUGAGGUUUUCUUUGUGAAAAGGUUUUUAACUACAGAUUAAAAGUUUUAGUACAUAUAGGGCAAUUAGGGUAUCUAUUUCUUUGUGAGCAAGAUUUUAUGGUUUGCAUUUUCAAAGAAUUGUCUGUUUCAUCUAACUUAUUGGAUUUACUGGCAUAAAUUUUCAGUUUUUUUUAAUCAUCCUUUUAAUACUGGUUGAAAAUGUAGUGAUGUCACCUCUCUCUUUUCUGAUAUCGAUAAUUUGUGUCAUCUUUUUUUCUGAUAACUCUAGCUAAAAAUACAUCAGUUAUGUUGAUCUUUUCAUUGGUUUCCUCUAUUAUUUUGGUUUUCCAUUUUACUGAGUUCUUUUUUUUAAUUCAAAUUACUUUGGGUUUAAUUUGCUCUUCUUUUUCUAGUUUCUUAAAGUGGAAGCUGAGGUUGGUAACUUAAGAUUUUUCUUCUUUCCUAAUAAAGUCAUUUACUUCUCUAAAUUUCCUUCUAAGUGCUAGUUUUGUGUCAUCCCCUACACUGUGUGUGUCAUCCUAUGCAUUCCCUAUUUUUUAUUUUUUGACCCAUUUGUUAUUUAGAUUAUAAAUAUUUGAGGAUUUUCCAAUGAUCUAUGGCAAUUAGUCUUAUUACUGAGGCAAAAACCUCUGGGUACUGUACCAAAUGUUAUAUGAAUCUCGAUGUUUUCCACUCUGGGUAGAAGGAAUAGGCACCAUUCUCAGUACUGUGUGAGCACCAUACACUGUUUCUGCUAAUCCUUUUAGAGGGACCAUAUGCUGAUGAGUAUUCAGCUAAACAAUCAAGGGGGAUCCUCUACAGAUCUUUGAAAAAUUCCCUCUCUGUGCAGUACUCUGUCCUAUAACCCCUAGCCACCUUGGUCUCCUUGGUCUCUCAGCUCCAUCUCCUCAACCCACAGAGUCCAUCAGGCUCUGUCCACUUCCCUGUACUGAAAACUCUCCCAUGGCAGUAAGCUGCAGCAGCCGUAUGUCUCACUCGUUUUUUCUUCUUGCCUCUCAAGUAUC